GACGAACGCUGGCGGCGUGCCUAACACAUGCAAGUCGAACGGUAAGGCCUUGCACUUGUGCGGUGCUGGUGUGGCGAACGGGGGAGUAACACGCGAGGAACCUGCCCUUGUCAUUGGGGGAACUUCAUGAAACUGGAGCUAAUACCCCACAUGAGCUCUUUAUGCAUGGGUUUUAUGGUAAAAUGUCGUCUGUUGGGGAUGGACACGCGGCUUAUCGUCUUGUUGGCUAGGUGGUGGGUUACCAAGGCUUUGACGGGUUGCCGGACUGAGAGGGUGACAGGGCACAUUGGGACUGAGAUACGAGCCAGACUGCUCCGGGAGGAAGCAGCGGGGAAUUUUGCACAAUGGGCGGAAGCAGGAUGCAGGAACGCCGCGUGCGGGAAGACGGUCUUUGGGUAGUAAAGCGCUUUAGACUGGGACGAAGAUUGAGUGACGGUAAUGGGUAAGGAAGCACCGGCUAACUACGUG
This 468-nucleotide ribosomal RNA is filed under the name uncultured bacterium. Its description in RNAcentral is "partial 16S ribosomal RNA". It matches the Rfam family "Bacterial small subunit ribosomal RNA", at positions 28 to 507 of the family's 1533-position model. The record is from RNAcentral.